GGCCCCGUAGUUCAGCUGGAUAGAACACAGGUUUCCUAAACCUGGUGUCGGAGGUUCGAGUCCUCUCGGGGCCGCAA
This 77-nucleotide transfer RNA is filed under the name Chlorobiota bacterium. RNAcentral describes it as "Chlorobi bacterium (sediment metagenome) tRNA-Arg". It matches the Rfam family "tRNA". From Rfam's summary of the family: Transfer RNA (tRNA) molecules are approximately 80 nucleotides in length. Their secondary structure includes four short double-helical elements and three loops (D, anti-codon, and T loops). The record is from RNAcentral. Lineage: Bacteria; Pseudomonadati; Chlorobiota.